This 433-nucleotide ribosomal RNA is filed under the name uncultured bacterium. Its description in RNAcentral is "partial 16S ribosomal RNA". It matches the Rfam family "Bacterial small subunit ribosomal RNA", at positions 29 to 507 of the family's 1533-position model. The record is from RNAcentral.
AGCGAACGCUGGCGGCAGGCCUAACACAUGCAAGUCGAACGAACUCUUCGGAGUUAGUGGCGUACGGGUGAGUAACACGUGGGAACGUUCCUUUUGGUUCGGCAUAACUCAGGGAAACUUGUGCUAAUACCGAAUGUGCCCUUCGGGGGAAAGAUUUAUCGCCAUUAGAGCGGCCCGCGUCUGAUUAGCUAGUUGGUGAGGUAACGGCUCACCACGGCGACGAUCAGUAGCUGGUCUGAGAGGAUGACCAGCCACACUGGGACUGAGACACGGCCCAGAAUCCUACGGGAAGCAGCAGUGGGGAAUCUUGCGAAAUGGGCGAAAGCCUGACGCAGCCAUGCCGCGUGAAUGAUGAAGGUCUUAGGAUUGUAAAAUUCUUUCACCGGGGACGAUAAUGACGGUACCCGGAGAAGAAGCCCCGGCUAACUUCGUG